GAGUUGCCUGCAUGGAAAAAGGCCAAUCCAAGAUACGAAUUCAAAGCCGUGCAUAUUAAGUAUGUCUUGAUGCUUUGUAACACUCCCACCUUGGGGAGGGGAAUGUCGGAUUGGGUGAUUCGCCCCCGCCCCCUCUAAACCACCAUGGUGGUGAUAGAGCUCUUUCGUCCCAGUGGCCUAAGACAGCCACCAUGCCAGUGCUGCGAUCCCACAUGAAGGACACACACAACCCAAAUCUCCCGCCCACCAACUCUUCCUUCAUUCUCUAUUUUCCAUUAUUAUACAACAACGCUCUCAAUAACUGGACACAAUCCCGCCUUCCCACAACUCCCCUUCUCUUCCAGUCUCCCAGCCUCCCGGAUGGAGUCUUUUCAAAAGCCCACGAAGAAAAAAAAAAGUCCCGAAGUUACGUUCAAGCAAGUAUUAAUCCUUGCAUGAAAUUGCAUGAGCCAAGCGCUUGGGUAGGGGCCAAGGGCAGGCUCACAACGUAUCAGAUCAUAGCUCGUAACUCGCCACUCAAAGGCAGCGAAAAUUCAUUGGAUCCUCCACACCCCC
Molecule: small RNA, 555 nt
Filed under: Histoplasma capsulatum var. duboisii H88
Lineage: Eukaryota; Fungi; Ascomycota; Eurotiomycetes; Onygenales; Ajellomycetaceae
Description: Histoplasma capsulatum H88 hypothetical RNA
Source: RNAcentral